UGACCGCUUGCGCAGUUGUGCAAGUCAUCGCCAUACGGACAGGCGGGUCAACUGCCG
RNAcentral lists this small RNA (57 nucleotides) under chicken gut metagenome. Its description in RNAcentral is "Streptococcus sRNA SpF59 (ldcC RNA)". It matches the Rfam family "Streptococcus sRNA SpF59 (ldcC RNA)". The record is from RNAcentral.